AGAACUUAGCAGAGAUGCUUUGGUGCCUUCGGGAACUCUGAGACAGGUGCUGCAUGGCUGUCGUCAGCUCGUGUUGUGAAAUGUUGGGUUAAGUCCCGCAACGAGCGCAACCCUUAUCCUUUGUUGCCAGCGGUUAGGCCGGGAACUCAAAGGAGACUGCCAGUGAUAAACUGGAGGAAGGUGGGGAUGACGUCAAGUCAUCAUGGCCCUUACGAGUAGGGCUACACACGUGCUACAAUGGCGCAUACAAAGAGAAGCGACCUCGCGAGAGCAAGCGGACCUCAUAAAGUGCGUCGUAGUCCGGAUUGGAGUCUGCAACUCGACUCCAUGAAGUCGGAACCGCUAGUAAUCGUGGAUCAGAAUGCCACGGUGAAUACGUUCCCGGGCCUUGUACACACCGCCCGUCACACCAUGGGAGUGGGUUGCAAAAGAAGUAGGCAGCUUAACCUUCGGGAGGGCGCUUACCACUUUGUGAUUCAUGACUGGGGUGAAGUCGUAACAAGGUAGGCGUAGUGCU
This 517-nucleotide ribosomal RNA is filed under the name uncultured bacterium. Its description in RNAcentral is "bacterial SSU rRNA". It matches the Rfam family "Bacterial small subunit ribosomal RNA", at positions 992 to 1509 of the family's 1533-position model. The record is from RNAcentral.